GAUGAACGCUGGCGGCGUGCCUAAUACAUGCAAGUCGAGCGAACAGACGAGGAGCUUGCUCCUCUGACGUUAGCGGCGGACGGGUGAGUAACACGUGGAUAACCUACCUAUAAGACUGGGAUAACUUCGGGAAACCGGAGCUAAUACCGGAUAAUAUAUUGAACCGCAUGGUUCAAUAGUGAAAGACGGUUUUGCUGUCACUUAUAGAUGGAUCCGCGCCGCAUUAGCUAGUUGGUAAGGUAACGGCUUACCAAGGCAACGAUGCGUAGCCGACCUGAGAGGGUGAUCGGCCACACUGGAACUGAGACACGGUCCAGACUCCUACGGGAGGCAGCAGUAGGGAAUCUUCCGCAAUGGGCGAAAACCUGACGGAACAACGCCGCGUGAGUGAUGAAGGUCUUCGGAUCGUAAAACUCUGUUAUUAGGGAAGAACAAAUGUGUAAGUAACUAUGCACGUCUUGACGGUACCUAAUCAGAAAGCCACGGCUAACUACGUG
Molecule: ribosomal RNA, 497 nt
Filed under: uncultured bacterium
Lineage: Bacteria
Description: partial 16S ribosomal RNA
Rfam family: Bacterial small subunit ribosomal RNA
Source: RNAcentral